Triticum aestivum (bread wheat) is the source of this 2583-nucleotide long non-coding RNA. RefSeq lists it as uncharacterized. Lineage: Eukaryota; Viridiplantae; Streptophyta; Magnoliopsida; Poales; Poaceae. The record is from RefSeq and is a predicted model, not a curated record. The transcript is spliced from 2 exons.
UCCCCGCAAUUUCCCCGGGUCGGAGAACCACGGGCCGAAUUGGCCCGAGUAGAUCGACCGCGUCGUUUGGACCGCGUCACACGAGGGGUAACCAUGCCCGAUCCACGUUCUUUCCACGGGGAGGGAAGCCACGACCCUAGACAUCGGGGAGGAAAACCACGGCUCGAGAUAACGACGGCGCCGUCGACCAAGAUCCAGUGCCCUGCCUGGCUGCCUCCUCCGCGUCCGAGCUCCUCCAUCGGCGACAUAAGCGACGCCCUCGACCCCCUCCUUCUGUUGCUCAGGAUUCAAGCUCCGCCCCUCCAGCAACGGUGAUGGACCGUGGCCGUCACCGUCCUCCUUCCCCGGAUCUCUACUCCACCUCUAAGCUCCGGCCUCCUCCGGCGACCGCGACGACGACGGUUCUCUGUUCGUUUUCUACCUCCUCCGGUCAAGAUCCAGGAAAGUGAGCACAGCCUCCUCUCAGAUCAUUUUCACCAUCGUCAAUCUCAGGUGAGCACUAGAUCUGUGCACAAUGUUUGGUUGCUGAUGUUUUAGUGGUUGUCCAGAAGAACUACACAAUGCUAGAUCCCAGAAUGUUUUAUUUUCUUGUUCAAGCUUCUUGCCUAGAGUCCACGUAUCAUACCUGUGGCUCAGUUUUCGUUUUCAUAGCUAUGUCUCGUGCUCAUCAGACUUUAUGCAUGUCGCUGCUCCUUUGUGAAUGGGCAUAUUAAACACAUUGACAUGUUCUUAUAGCAAGUAUGAAUAAUGCUUGGUAGAUCAGUAGAUGGUACAUGUUGUGUGUUAUAAAUUUAUAAUUCCUUUGAUCAGUAACCAGAACAUUGGACUCUCCAGAGAUUAUAUUCUGUCUAUGAUAAGAGCAAGAAUUUUUAUACCCAUGCAUACUAGGACAAAGCGGCUGUGCUUUUCCUUCCACCGGGAUCUCGAUGGCGAGAGGAAUCUAUGCCAUGUCCAACCAUGGCGACGACCCGGUGUUCGUCUUGCUCCUCCCCUCUUCCACCUCAUAUAGCUUCUUGUCAUCAUGUCCCUGCAAUGAUAGUUGUUGCUCCAGAUCCAAGACGUGAUUGCACUCAGGAAUUAUUAUGGUCCGGAGUACAAAUCUUGGAGCGCGGUGAGCACAUAUUCCAUAUCUUCCCAAGAACAACUAUUUUUUGUACUAUUUGAUUUGUCCACGCGAUGCAUAGAGAGUCUCUCUUUAAGCCUGAAUGCAUGUAGUCUCUCUUGUCCUAAUCAACAUUAGUUGAAAGAGAUGGAGCAGAGCGAGAUCUCUUGGGUGAAAAAACGUAUAUUGGUUUAUGCAUAGUUUUCUAAUUUUGCAGCUCUUGUGCCGGAGGUUUAUUUUUUAAAAUCAAGUAAUAGCAGUGAAUAACAGAUUUUAGGCCACUAAUUAUGUAACCUCCUAGAUAUUGAUCAGAAUUUCUGAGUCCCCACCUAAUUCUACCUGCAAAACUCUGCCUAACCAACAAUAAAUUAGUUAAUCUUUGAGUUCAUUAUCCUUUUUUUCUGUAACAAUCCCCUUGCAUUUCUAAUGUAGCCACGAUUAAUUGCCUAGGUUUAUCAGUUGGGUUCUUAUCAUUUUGCAGCGGUCAUAGUGAAGUCAUGUACUCUUCAGAGGUACUCAUGCCUUUGCUGCUUUUCGUUGAUGCUUCCUCUGCUUUGGAAGUGCAAAACUAUGAUCUUGGUGUGAAUUAUUCUAGCCAUUUUAGUAUCUUGAUCAUGCCAACGGUAUAUGCUAUGUUUUACAAUCACUAGUUGGUCCAUGUGUUUUCUUGGUUACUUCUCUGAAAUAAUUUUUUGAUUGCCAACUAUCAUGUUCAAUGCACCCUAGUGACCAAUAUUUAAUUUGACUGCAGAAGAAACAUUUUGCUGUAUGGUACAUGCUCUUAUCCAUUUCAUUGUUUCAGUAGUAUGGUGUAUUGCAUUUCAGACUUUUCUGUGUAGUGCAUUUUUAUACUUUAUGGGUGAACUGAUUAAGUCACUUUUGUCUAUGUUUUAGACUAAUUACAUUGCAAUUUAACUGUAGGUAUGUGCUUCAAUGUCAACUUAUCGAAGGCAGCAAGUGCCCCUAAAACAUCGAGCUGCGGUACCUGAUGUCGAUGUGGAGUGGGGAACCAAUUGAGCAAAACUAUUGACCGUCACCUUGCAGCUCAUCUUCUUCAGUAGUGUGUCCGCCUCUUGGGAAUUUAGAGUUUUUUGUAUUGUACUCCCUCCGUCCGAAAAUACUUGUCAUCAAAAUGAAUAACAGGGGAUGUAUCUAGACGUAUAUUAGUUCUAGAUACAUCAUUUUUUAUUCAUUUUGAUGACAAGUAUUUUCGGACGGAGGGAGUACAACUCAUUAGCUCCUAUGCUUAUGCUAUAGCUAACCUUUUGCAUUAGUUGUAAUGGUGCGGUCCUAAAAAUUGAGUACCAAUCUUAACAAUGAUGGAUCAUAUUAGGUGUAAUGUAUAUGUAUUGCACACGAAAAUGAUUUAGGCUAUCACUUGAUAGCGGUGAAAUACAGACCAAUAUCUUAACCUUGAUGAAGCGAUGAAAUAUCAGUUGUAUUAUUUUUGGAAAUUUAUUUAUUGAAUUCUGAUUUUUGUA